GAGACAUUUUAUAACACCCUCAGUCACUCUGAAGACAAGGAAUAGGAAGAAACAGACUUGGAGUAGAACACACUGCCAACCAAGCUCUGUCCUCUCCCCUUCCUGCACCUCUUCCUGCUGCCAUCUCUCCACCACGUUGCCCGGCCUCUGUCCUCGCCCAGGUUUCACCUGAUGCCAGGGACCCCUCUGGCAGCCUGCUUACCACUAGGCCACCUUGCCCCAGACCUGCCGCUCUCUAGUCCAUGCUCCAUGGUGUGCGCAGAGGGAUUUUUCUAACACAGAAUCUUACCGUGUCACCAGGCCAUUACAGACAUUAAUAGCUCCACAUGCCCCUAGCACAGCCUCUUCCUCCCCAGGCCGGCCACUCAUACUCCAUUCUCAGCCACAUUCUGCUCCUUGGCCUGUGGAGAGGCCAUUUUCUCUGCCC
RNAcentral lists this long non-coding RNA (427 nucleotides) under Homo sapiens (human). RNAcentral describes it as "HSALNT0151827". Lineage: Eukaryota; Metazoa; Chordata; Mammalia; Primates; Hominidae. The record is from RNAcentral.